CUGAUGCAAUGGUUCUAAUUAAGUAACCACCUUUCAAAAUACUUCCCUUAGACACCAAUAGGUCAACCUAUUCUAAAUUAGGCUUGACUUUUGGUUUUUCACCAUAAAUUGAGAUUGCAUCCAUCUAAAGUGUAUUCAUUAUAUAACCCUACUCCUAGGGUUUGUAGUGAUUCAUGGAAAUCAUCACAUGUAUCCAUGAAAAACACAUGUGUGACUAUCACAUAGUCUUUAUGUUCAUGCUAAUUUCUUAUGAUAUUUUAUGUAU
RNAcentral lists this long non-coding RNA (265 nucleotides) under Elaeis guineensis (African oil palm). Its description in RNAcentral is "long non-coding RNA (EGUI_LNC031712)". Lineage: Eukaryota; Viridiplantae; Streptophyta; Magnoliopsida; Arecales; Arecaceae. The record is from RNAcentral.